GAUGAACGCUGGCGGCGUGCCUAAUACAUGCAAGUCGAGCGAACGGACGAGAAGCUUGCUUCUCUGAUGUUAGCGGCGGACGGGUGAGUAACACGUGGAUAACCUACCUAUAAGACUGGGAUAACUUCGGGAAACCGGAGCUAAUACCGGAUAAUAUUUUGAACCGCAUGGUUCAAAAGUGAAAGACGGUCUUGCUGUCACUUAUAGAUGGAUCUGCGGUGCAUUAGCUAGUUGGUAAGGUAACGGCUUACCAAGGCAACGAUGCAUAGCCGACCUGAGAGGGUGAUCGGCCACACUGGAACUGAGACACGGUCCAGACUCCUACGGGAGGCAGCAGUAGGGAAUCUUCCGCAAUGGGCGAAAGCCUGACGGAGCAACGCCGCGUGAGUGAUGAAGGUCUUCGGAUCGUAAAACUCUGUUAUUAGGGAAGAACAUAUGUGUAAGUAACUGUGCACAUCUUGACGGUACCUAAUCAGAAAGCCACGGCUAACUACGUGCCAGCAGCCGCGGUAAUACGUAGGUGGCAAGCGUUAUCCGGAAUUAUUGGGCGUAAAGCGCGCGUAGCCGGUUUUUUAAGUCUGAUGUGAAAGCCCACGGCUCAACCGUGGAGGGUCAUUGGAAACUGGAAAACUUGAGUGCAGAAGAGGAAAGUGGAAUUCCAUGUGUAGCGGUGAAAUGCGCAGAGAUAUGGAGGAACACCAGUGGCGAAGGCGACUUUCUGGUCUGUAACUGACGCUGAUGUGCGAAAGCGUGGGGAUCAAACAGGAUUAGAUACCCUGGUAGUCCACGCCGUAAACGAUGAGUGCUAAGUGUUAGGGGGUUUCCGCCCCUUAGUGCUGCAGCUAACGCAUUAAGCACUCCGCCUGGGGAGUACGACCGCAAGGUUGAAACUCAAAGGAAUUGACGGGGACCCGCACAAGCGGUGGAGCAUGUGGUUUAAUUCGAAGCAACGCGAAGAACCUUACCAAAUCUUGACAUCCUUUGACAACUCUAGAGAUAGAGCCUUCCCCUUCGGGGGACAAAGUGACAGGUGGUGCAUGGUUGUCGUCAGCUCGUGUCGUGAGAUGUUGGGUUAAGUCCCGCAACGAGCGCAACCCUUAAGCUUAGUUGCCAUCAUUAAGUUGGGCACUCUAAGUUGACUGCCGGUGACAAACCGGAGGAAGGUGGGGAUGACGUCAAAUCAUCAUGCCCCUUAUGAUUUGGGCUACACACGUGCUACAAUGGACAAUACAAAGGGCAGCGAAACCGCGAGGUCAAGCAAAUCCCAUAAAGUUGUUCUCAGUUCGGAUUGUAGUCUGCAACUCGACUACAUGAAGCUGGAAUCGCUAGUAAUCGUAGAUCAGCAUGCUACGGUGAAUACGUUCCCGGGUCU
RNAcentral lists this ribosomal RNA (1372 nucleotides) under uncultured bacterium. RNAcentral describes it as "bacterial SSU rRNA". It matches the Rfam family "Bacterial small subunit ribosomal RNA", at positions 28 to 1381 of the family's 1533-position model. The record is from RNAcentral.